RNAcentral lists this ribosomal RNA (567 nucleotides) under Salmonella enterica. RNAcentral's name for it is "partial 23S ribosomal RNA". It matches the Rfam family "Bacterial large subunit ribosomal RNA", at positions 1 to 598 of the family's 2925-position model. Lineage: Bacteria; Pseudomonadati; Pseudomonadota; Gammaproteobacteria; Enterobacterales; Enterobacteriaceae. The record is from RNAcentral.
GGGUUGUGAGGUUAAGCGACUAAGCGUACACGGUGGAUGCCCUGGCAGUCAGAGGCGAUGAAGGGCGUGCUAAUCUGCGAUAAGCGCCGGUAAGGUGAUAUGAACCGUUAUAACCGGCGAUACCCGAAUGGGGAAACCCAGUGUGAUUCGUCACACUAUCAUUACGUGAAUACAUAGCGUAAUGAAGCGAACCGGGGGAACUGAAACAUCUAAGUACCCCGAGGAAAAGAAAUCAACCGAGAUUCCCCCAGUAGCGGCGAGCGAACGGGGAGGAGCCCAGAGCCUGAAUCAGCAUGUGUGUUAGUGGAAGCGUCUGGAAAGGCGCGCGAUACAGGGUGACAGCCCCGUACACAAAAGCGCAUGUGUUGUGAGCUCGAUGAGUAGGGCGGGACACGUGGUAUCCUGUCUGAAUAUGGGGGGACCAUCCUCCAAGGCUAAAUACUCCUGACUGACCGAUAGUGAACCAGUACCGUGAGGGAAAGGCGAAAAGAACCCCGGCGAGGGGAGUGAAAAAGAACCUGAAACCGUGUACGUACAAGCAGUGGGAGCACCCUUUGGGGUGUGACU